AUACGUAGGGGGCUAGCGUUGUUCGGAAUCACUGGGCGUAAAGGGAGUGUAGNCGGACCGGUAAGUUAGGAGUUAAAUGUACGGGCUCAACCCGUGAUCUGCUUGUAAUACUGUCGGUCUUGAGUAUGGGAGAGGGAGAUGGAAUUCCAGGUGUANCGGUGGAAUGCGUAGAUAUCUGGAAGAACACCAGUUGCGAAGGCGGUCUCCUGGACCAAUACUGACGCUGAUGCUCGAAAGCUGGGGGAGCGAACAGGAUUAGAUACCCUGGUAGUCCCAGCCGUAAACGAUGGACACUAGUUGCCGGAGGAGUCAAUCCCUUCGGUGACGAAGCUAACGCAUUAAGUGUCCCGCCUGGGGAGUACGCUCGCAAGGGUGAAACUCAAAGGAAUUGACGGGGGCCCGCACAAGCGGUGGAGCAUGUGCUUUAAUUCGAUGCAACGCGAAGAACCUUACCCGGGUUUGACAUGGGGGUGAAAGUUUCCAGAGAUGGAAGCCUUUCCUUCGGGAACACCCCACACAGGUGCUGUAUGGUUGUCGUCAGCUCGUGUCGUGAGAUGUUGGGUUAAGUCCCGCAACGAGCGCAACCCCUGCCCUUAGUUGCCAUCAGGUAAAGCUGGGAACUCUAAGGGGACAGCUUGGUAUAACCAGGAGGAAGGUGGGGAUGACGUCAAAUCAUCAUGGCUCUUACGCCCAGGGCUAGACACGUGCUACAAUGGCAGGUACAGUGGGAUGCCAGCCUGCGAAGGUGAGCUAAUCCCUUAAAACCUGUCUCAGUCCGGAUUGGAGUCUGCAACUCGACUCCAUGAAGUUGGAAUCGCUAGUAAUCGCGGAUCAGCAUGCCGCGGUGAUACGUUCCCGGGCCUUGUACACACCGCCCGUCAAGCCAUGAAAGGCGGUAGUACCCGAAGUCGCGUACCCAACCGUAAGGAGGGAAGCGCCGAAGGUAAGACUGCUAAUUGGGCUAAGUCGUANCAAG
RNAcentral lists this ribosomal RNA (976 nucleotides) under uncultured organism. RNAcentral's name for it is "bacterial SSU rRNA". It matches the Rfam family "Bacterial small subunit ribosomal RNA", at positions 523 to 1495 of the family's 1533-position model. The record is from RNAcentral.